Aegilops tauschii subsp. strangulata is the source of this 1431-nucleotide long non-coding RNA. RefSeq lists it as uncharacterized. NCBI's taxonomy places the organism in Eukaryota, Viridiplantae, Streptophyta, Magnoliopsida, Poales, Poaceae. The record is from RefSeq and is a predicted model, not a curated record.
GUCUCGUGACCCCUCGCCCACACGCCCAUCCCUCCCUGCCUCCUCGAUCUCUCUCCCUCGUCAGCCGCAAUGGUACGAAGCAACAAACCCUAGCCCCCUUUCCCACGGCUGUUGCGCCCCGACCCCUCCCUCCACCCUCCUCCCCGAUCUCGAUGGUCGUCGUCCCUCUCACUCCUCCUGCUUCAUCAAGACAGCCAGCACGUCCAUCCCUCCUUAGGCGCCAUGGUGGCGGUCGGGCCGGAGCGGGGGCGGAAAGCCGUGGGGAGUCCGCCGGCAGGAGGAAGCAGUAUAGGGGCUGAUGAAGCGACGGAUGUGAUCCACCGCCUCCCUAGGUGCUCAUCCGCCUCGGCUCGUGAGGAAGCAGCGGGAGGAGGGAUGAGCUCAACUGGGCGCAUCAGAGAAAGAGGGAAGGAGCGGAUACCAGCCAGGAGGCUGCUCGGCUCAGUCCAGCCAUGGAGCUGGCGCUGCGGAUUCCCUGCUAGCCUCCUUCAUCUUCAUGUGGAUUUAGGUGGCACACUAGAUGUUGCACCACCGAUGGCAGUAGCCAGAUUUGGCGUUCGUGGUGCAAUGGCUUGGUGUUGCCCUUGCUUGAUGGUGCUGGAUAUGUCAAUAAACUGAUCGUGGAUUAUCUCCAACUGUGUAGUUACCUCUCUCGCUCUCAAUGGUGACGUAGAUCUCCUUUUGACCGAUAUGCCAUUGUUUCGUGCAGCCAGUUGAGGUUGGGGUGUGCUUGUGCAGAUAGUCGAUGGGGCGCUUGGCCUUCUAGCUAUAGACUGAUUGACAGGCAUGGUUCAUUGUUAUUUCCUUCCUUUAAUAGUAUUGUAAGGGAAGCAGGUUCUCCAAAUAAAUGCGGAAGAUUGCAGCAUCAAGGGUAUCACUUCACUAGAUUUUUCUACUUCUUGGUGGGCAGCUAAAUUAGUUUCCCUGGUCCGUUUCUCAACUAUCACAGAAGAACUCUUUACUCUGUAAUUUUCUCUUUAUUUGUGCUGAAGGCAUAGAUCAAGUGCUACAUGGCUAUGCUCUUCGGAGCUUAGAGCAUCAGUGGUUGGCCUCCUUUCUAUUUGUUCUUUUUUCUAGGAUUUGCGUGUGUUAAUCGGAUGAAUAUAUGGAAGGAUACAGAGAGGCCAGAGAGUUUGCUAUCAAAUUCUCAAGCAGCAAGAAGAUAGCUAGCCUAAAUGAAUCAAGACAUGAACAGUGUCGAGAAGUUACGGAUGCAGAAGUGCAGCAAGUAUCGCCUCUAUUUUUUUAUCUCAAAUCAACCGCAGAAAAAACUACUGGAUAAUCAUCUUCUUGCCACUUUAUAAUUGGCUUACUGCUAUGAUCCUGGUGUUAUUUGCUAUGAGAAAAGAACGAGAGGUUCAAUGUGCACCUCAUAUCAUCACAUCAAAUGGAAUAAUUGAAUAGGCUUAUAUAUCAUCAUAUCUGCACACA